Molecule: long non-coding RNA, 706 nt
Organism: Rosa rugosa (rugosa rose)
Lineage: Eukaryota; Viridiplantae; Streptophyta; Magnoliopsida; Rosales; Rosaceae
Exons: 4
Source: RefSeq, a predicted model, not a curated record
UCAAACUUAACCUAGCUCUACAAAGAGCCAAGAGACGAAAAUUAGGCACGCCUAGAUUUGAGUUCCCAAUGAAACCUCAUACUCCAUCUUCCCCUCUCCUCAACCUUAAAACUUUUCUGCAUCUGAAGAACCUCAUAUGCCAUAGUCAGUACUGACCUUCUCUUUCGAUCUCUCAAGUUGGGUUCAAUUCGCUCUCUCAGUAUCUUCUCUCUUCCAUCAGUGGUUCAAUUCGGUCCUCACGAAGGGAACGGGAGAGAGAGAAUUUUGGAUUUCUCAAUUUUCCGUUUGCGUUUUCAGCUUCAUAUGCACAAUGAACGACCUCCUCAAGAUAUUAAACAGGAUCCAUCAACUAAACUAGAGUUUAAGCAAAGGUGAUGAUCAGUCACUUCUUACUUGGAAUCUCUGGGACAACAUCAGUAACAAGCAUGUCUGUAGUUGGUCAUCAAAGAGAGGUAGUACCUUGAAGCAUCAAUUCAAGCUUGGUGAGCAGCUUCUGUUUCAAUGUUGAAGUAGAGGAAGAUAAGCACCUUGUAAAGCUUAAUUAUCUUGUAAACUUUCAUAGAAGCUUCAUUCAUUUUGUAACAUUCAUGAGAAAAAUUAAAAUGUUACAUUCUCUUUUGUAUAAGCUUUAUUCCUUUUUGUAUAGCUUUUAUAAAAAAAAAAAAAAAAAAAAAUUGGCAUGCAUGUUUGCAUGCAAGAUUUUUUU